This 253-nucleotide ribosomal RNA is filed under the name uncultured bacterium. Its description in RNAcentral is "partial 16S ribosomal RNA". It matches the Rfam family "Bacterial small subunit ribosomal RNA", at positions 524 to 776 of the family's 1533-position model. The record is from RNAcentral.
UACAGAGGUCUCGAGCGUUGUUCGGAAUCACUGGGCGUAAAGGGUGCGUAGGCCGCGCGGUAAGUCAGAUGUGAAAUCUCAGGGCUCAACUCUGAAAUUGCAUCCGAUACUGCCGUGCUUGAGGACUGGAGAGGAGUCUGGAAUUCACGGUGUAGCAGUGAAAUGCGUAGAUAUCGUGAGGAACACCAGAGGCGAAGGCGGCUACCUGGACAAUUGCUGACGCUCAGGCACGAAAGCGUGGGGAGCAAAAGGG